UUAGAGUUUGAUCCUGGCCCAGGAUAAACGCUGGCGGCGUGCCUAAUACAUGCAAGUCGAACGAGGGCGGCCAAGCUUGCUUGGCCAAACGAGUGGCGAACGGGUGAGUAACACAUAAGCAACCUGCCCACGGAGACCGGGAUAAUCUCUGGAAACGGGGACUAAAACCGGAUAGGUAGCACAGCCGCAUGGUAGUGCUAUUAAAGGUGAGAGACACUGGUGGAUGGGCUUAUGGCGCAUUAGCUAGUUGGUGAGGUAAAGGCCCACCAAGGCGAUGAUGCGUAGCCGGCCUGAGAGGGUGAACGGCCACAUUGGGACUGAGACACGGCCCAGACUCCUACGGGAGGCAGCAGUAGGGAAUUUUCGGCAAUGGGGGGAACCCUGACCGAGCAACGCCGCGUGAACGAUGAAGGUCUUCGGAUUGUAAAGUUCUGUUGUACGGGAAGAACGGUAUGGAGAGGAUCCAUAAGUGACGGUACCGUACCAGAAAGCCACGGCUAACUACGUGCCAGCAGCCGCGGUAAUACGUAGGUGGCGAGCGUUAUCCGGAAUUAUUGGGCGUCAAGGGUGCGAAAGCGGUCUGUUAAGUUCCUGGUUAAAGCGGGGGGCUCAACCCCAUAAAGCCACGGAUACUGGCAGACUAGAGUACUGGAAAGGGCAGUGGAAUUCCAUGUGUAGCGGUAAAAUGCGUAGAUAUAUGGAGGAACACCGGUGGCGAAGGCGGCUGCCUGGACAGAGACUGACGCUGAGGCACGAAAGCGUGGGGAGCAAAUAGGAUUAGAUACCCUAGUAGUCCACGCCGUAAACGAUGGAUACUAAGUAUUGGGGCAACUCAGUGCUGCAGUUAACGCAAUAAGUAUCCCGCCUGUGGAGUAUGCACGCAAGUGUGAAACAUAAAGGAAUUGACGGGGGCCCGCACAAGCGGUGGAGUAUGUGGUUUAAUUCGACGCAACGCGAAGAACCUUACCAGGCCUUGACAUCCCGUGCAAAGGUAUAGAGAUAUACCGGAGGUUACCAAGGUGACAGGUGGUGCAUGGUUGUCGUCAGCUCGUGUCGUGAGAUGUUGGGUUAAGUCCCGCAACGAGCGCAACCCUUGUCUUCAGUUACCAAUAUCAAGUUAGGGACUCUGGAGAGACUGCCGGUGAUAAACCGGAGGAAGGUGGGGAUGACGUCAAGUCCUCAUGGCCCUUACGGGCUGGGCUACACACGUACUACAAUGGCGAAUACAAAGGGAAGCAAGCGUGCGAACGCAAGCGGAUCCUAUAAAAUUCGUCUCAGUUCAAAUUGCACUCUGCAACUCGAGUGCAUGAAGUUGGAAUCGCUAGUAAUCCGAAAUCACCAGGUCGCGGUGAAUACUUCCCCGGAGUUGUCCCCCCCCCCCCUCCCCCCAUGGGAGUUGGUUUUAACUGAAGGCGCUCUGCUGACCCCAGGGAGGCAGGUGACCACGGUAGGAUCAGUGACUGGGGUGAAGUCGUAACAAGGUAACCGUAU
Molecule: ribosomal RNA, 1491 nt
Filed under: uncultured bacterium
Lineage: Bacteria
Description: bacterial SSU rRNA
Rfam family: Bacterial small subunit ribosomal RNA
Source: RNAcentral